UUUGCACAAGUGACAAGUCCUCUUCAGGUUCUUAGAACAAGCCAACUACUCUGGGAUCCAAGUAACUGGUGAUGGAAAGCUGUCACAAUAUUAGAAUGCCUCACUUGAGGAUCAAUUGAAUUGUGAACUGUGAAGAAAUGACAAAACAACACUGGGCCACAUUAUCAUGAUACAAAGAAGUCCCAAGAAGCCAUGGCUGGUGAGAAAAGGAAUGUUCAUUGUCUUUUACUGUAGAUCAGAUGCCAUAUGGCUGUUGAAAAAGAAGACCAUUUCAGAACUUGACUUUACCUGUCAGAUGACCACACUAGGUGGCUAUGAUUGAAUAUUUGUGGCAUGUGUCUUAGUCCCUGAUUGGAUAGCAGAUAUUGAUUGCAUGGGAAAUAGUGGGCUCAUGUACCUGUGCAAUUAAAGUGCCUGUAUAUUCUUUUCAGAAAAUUCAGGCUUGUUAAAAGCUCUGGCAUACGUGUACCCAUCAGAAGCAAAUAGCACCUGAUAGAAGCAGUUUAGUCCAGGGCUGCUCCUGCUCUGUUCUGUUCUCCUGCAGAAGCCAGGGGGAGCUCCAAGCUCCCCUGGGUGCCAAUCCUGGGGCUGGCAAGGGGCACAGGGGCUGGUCCCUAUCCCCACAUGGCCUGGAGAACUGUCUCCCUCAGUGGGGAUGCUGCCUACCAUACUUCCUGCCAGCUGCAUGUCUACCCCUCCUGAUCCCCACCUGGCUGGCAGGGAGCGUCUCUGCCUAGGGGGGGAUGACUCUUCCAACCAUGUGGGGAUCAGGAAGAUCCUAAUCCCCAUGUGGCUGGCAAAGAGCAUCCUGCUGAGCUGAGACAUCUCUCCCCACCCUUUGUGGACACCUGCCAGCUAGGCUGACUGGGUGUAAUUUGCUCCUAGUCAACAUCUACACAUACGCUACUGCUCAAUAGCUAAUAUAUCAUUAAUUUAGUACCUAUUUUUGUUGGUACUAGAAAAUGGCUCAUUAGCCUAAUUUACUGCACAGUAAGGCCCCCACACCUGUAGGCGCUGGCACUUUACUAUGCAUUAGAUUAGUCUAAUGUGCAGUAAAGUGUCUUGUGUAGUCACACCCAGUGAGUUACAGCCAAUAUGGAGAACAGUGGACAAUAGCCAUUAUACUCUGGGACAAAUAUGAGACACAUCCAAGUUUUGGAAGCUUUUCUAUGAAUUAGAACAGUUACAAAUAUUCAUAGAUAAUGAAUCCAGAAGUAACAAUGGCUUGAUUUGGGUAAUAUUUGAAAAUGUAUACAAAUUUGGUAACAAUUUUUGGAAGGAAUUAAAAAAUUGGAAAAAACUCAAAAAAGGCAAAAACUUUUUUGACAUGUUCCGAAUGACAUAUUUCUAUUUUUUGGUUCAAAAUGACAUUGUGGAUUUCAAAGAGAAUUAGGUAGUUACGCGAUUUAGAAAAUGCCCAUAGGUACCUAAUAUGACUUCAGGAAACAAAAUACCUUGAUAAGUGUGGACAUUGCUAGCCAUCUGCAUUGGGAACCAUUAUUUUAGGCAUUCUAGAUGCAGAGUAAAAGACAGCUGCUACCACAAAGAGUUUACAACAUAAAGCUGCAACCCCACAAAGACUUAUACAGCACAAGUUGCUACCACAUAAGCUAUCAAUGGGAUGACUCACAAUACAUCAAAUUAAACAUACAAACGAAUCUGAGCAGGAUGAGGAACAAAGAAUAGACAUUUUAAAAGAGAAAUUACAAUCUAUGAUGUCAGCGUAUGUUCUGCAUUCAAUAUAUUUUAUAGAAUGAACACACACAUAUUAAUUGCUUUUGAUGCAAUUGCUUUUCCUCUUGGAAAUGACUACAAAAAAUUAGAGAAAAUAAAAAUGU
Molecule: long non-coding RNA, 1838 nt
Organism: Gavialis gangeticus (Gharial)
Lineage: Eukaryota; Metazoa; Chordata; Crocodylia; Gavialidae
Exons: 3
Source: RefSeq, a predicted model, not a curated record